Molecule: ribosomal RNA, 91 nt
Filed under: Melampodium rosei
Lineage: Eukaryota; Viridiplantae; Streptophyta; Magnoliopsida; Asterales; Asteraceae
Description: partial 18S ribosomal RNA
Rfam family: Eukaryotic small subunit ribosomal RNA
Source: RNAcentral
GACGUCGUGAGAAUUCCACUGAACCUUAUCAUUUAGGGGAAGGAGAAGUCGUAACAAGGUUUCCGUAGGUGAACCUGCGGAAGGAUCAUUG